RNAcentral lists this long non-coding RNA (216 nucleotides) under Elaeis guineensis (African oil palm). RNAcentral's name for it is "long non-coding RNA (EGUI_LNC059420)". Lineage: Eukaryota; Viridiplantae; Streptophyta; Magnoliopsida; Arecales; Arecaceae. The record is from RNAcentral.
CCCAAAAAUCAAAAGUCUAAGUUGUGAAGGACUCUUGACGCAAAUCAAAAUUGGCGUCCGCAUGUUGGCAUGAGCAGAAGAAAGAAUCCUUUUGGUGUGGGAUUAAGAUGUGUGUGGUAGCCCACAUCACCCUUCAUCCUCUGAUGCAUAUCUCAAAGUAUGAGAUAGAUUUUUUUUAGAUUAUUUGGGGUAGAGAAAAAUUAGAAACGAGAAGGG